RNAcentral lists this transfer RNA (69 nucleotides) under Sorex caecutiens (Laxmann's shrew). Its description in RNAcentral is "tRNA-Arg". It matches the Rfam family "tRNA". From Rfam's summary of the family: Transfer RNA (tRNA) molecules are approximately 80 nucleotides in length. Their secondary structure includes four short double-helical elements and three loops (D, anti-codon, and T loops). Lineage: Eukaryota; Metazoa; Chordata; Mammalia; Eulipotyphla; Soricidae. RNAcentral also lists the same sequence under 1 other name. The record is from RNAcentral.
UAGUAAUUAGUUUAAACCAAAACAAAUGAUUUCGACUCAUUAGAUUGUGAUUUACUUCAUAAUUACUAA